CCCCCUACUCCCUCCCCACAGGUGAUUCUAAUGAGUGGCCAAGGUUAAGAACCCCCGCUGAGAUGGUGUGAAGGCACCAAUCACCAAUAACUCUGGGUGGGGGCACAGGUGGUUCUCCCAACCCUGAAGGUUUAAGAAGAAGAUGGGACCUUGCCCUAGGGAGGCACUCUCCAGCUGCAAAGAAGAGGUUAACUCAUGUUAGCAUCUGGCUGAGUCCUAAGGGAAGAGGAUGACACAGGGCAGAAUCGAAAGACCACCUGCAUCCCUUUGCUUAUGGCCCCUUCCUUAAAUCACACCAAACUCCUGCUCCCAUCGUCAUAUCUGCUCCUGAGUCUGACCCUCCCCCUUCCUGUGAGGAUGCUUGGGAUUAUAUUGGGCUCCAGAUGAUCCCCAUCUCAAGCCUCCAGUGGCAGGAGAGCCCCCUAGAGCCCAGCUGGUGUCCCACUCAGGAGGGCACACAGGUGUGGCUGAGUCCAAGUGUGUGGGAUAUGGGGGCUGCACCACAGGGUGCAAGAGUGCGAGAGAGUGAGCUGGCCUGGAUGUUCUGACAAAGACUAAGGAUCCCAUAAGCAUAUACGUUCCUCAAGGCGGCAGGUUUACCUCGCAGAACGCAGUAGCCUGAGGUUCUGGAUUGCAGACUGCCUGGGUGUCAGUCACUGCCCUGGCCGGCUGGGGGCCUUGGGCACGUCACCUCCCCUUCCUGCACCUUGACUUCCCUCGCCUGUGAGAUUGGCUUUUAUAAUGCCCACCAGAGCCCCUUUGCUUCUGGUCAGAGCCCCCCUCCCCUCACAGGGGCAUGCCCUUGUGCACAUUCCCCUGAAGGCUGGUCUCCAGGUGCACACUGAGAGGGGACCCAGGGAAGAAGAGUGUGGCCUCUCUGGGGAUGUGUAGGGCCACCAGGAACAGACACACUUGGGGUCCCUUAAGUCAUCAGGGCGUCCUUGCAAGGAAAGAAGAAAGGAAGCAAAUGGGAGUCUCGACCUCAAAAUCAGCAGCAGGAGCUGGGAAGGCUGUUCAGGACAGCGUGCAGUGCUAGUGCUCCCCUCAUCGUUUGGCCCCCUUGGAAGUGGGCGUCCAUUUCUUUUGAUUUGAGAGCUUUGUCUUUCCGGAAAUUCACUUCCUGUUCGUUUUUGCUUCUCUCUUCCUUCCCACGCCUAUUAGCUGCUCUCCCUUCUCCUCUCUGACCAGCGGCUUCUGCUGCUUUUCAGCCUCUGCUCCCACCACCAACUGCUUCCCUCGGUCUCUGUGCCAUAUUUUCAUUGCAGAGGCCAGACCCUCUGCAGCCUUCAGCAACAUUGAUGUCGUGAAAGGGAAAGAGGUGGAGGGACUGGUCCAGAAGAAAGGAGACUAAAGAGACAUGACAACCGAGUGGAAUAUGGGAUCCUGGGCUGGAGGGAAACAGUGCUGCAAAGAACAUUAGUGACAAACUGGCUAUGGAUGGGAGAGCAGUUAAAAUACUGUGUCGAUGUUAAUUUCCCUCAUUUGCUAAUUGUGCUGUAGUUGUGUAAGACAAUGACCUUUGAUCUUAGCAAAAACACACUGAAGUAUGAAGGGGUAAAGGGGCAUGAUUUAUGCAACCUCCUCUCAAAUGGUUCAGAAAAAAUUAGAUAAUAAUAUGCGUUUUUAAAAGAGGUCUCCAAUGACUCUCUUCUUGCUAAAUUC
Equus caballus (horse) is the source of this 1662-nucleotide long non-coding RNA. Lineage: Eukaryota; Metazoa; Chordata; Mammalia; Perissodactyla; Equidae. The record is from Ensembl.